Long non-coding RNA from Macrobrachium nipponense, 2553 nucleotides. RefSeq lists it as uncharacterized. The record is from RefSeq and is a predicted model, not a curated record. Lineage: Eukaryota; Metazoa; Arthropoda; Malacostraca; Decapoda; Palaemonidae. The transcript has 3 exons.
CGCAGCCAACAUUGUGAUAUCUAACAUAUCCAACAUGUAAAAAAAAGAAAAAAAAAGUUUCUUAUACCAUUUUAGUGUCUUACGAGCUCAAUCAGUAGAAGAUAUCAUUGCAUCCGACCUGUUUAUCAAACGUAUAUUAGUGUUAUAAUCAAUGACACAGUCAGGUUUGGAUACUCUUUCACGAGUUUGCGGAUCAACAAUCUGGCUUAGGAUCAUGAGAGGAUUGUGAACUAUGAGGAAGGAAGCUUCCCGUUUGUCUCCCCAUUGAACAGCAAGGAUAUUAUCUGCUUGCUUGUGUGUUACUUCAUCCCUGCGGACAAUACGAGCGACGUUUGGAAUGCUUUUUUGUCGUCUUUUUACGCAACCACAGGCUCCUGUCUUUUUGGAACACAGGUACUGAAAGAGGGCUGGAGAGUUAUACCAUUUAUCGACAAACAAUACAUGAGUUUUGUCAAGAUAAGGGUCUAUAAGAGUUAGCACUACACCGCCAGACAACCCAAAGUCUCGUUGAGCGUCACUUCUGUUUCAGCACCAGGUGUCCUGAACGGGGGAGGAGCAUCUCUAGGCCGACAUAUUAAAAGGAUGGGACCACAGCAGCUCUUUCUCGGAAGCCCUCAGAAGCCUCAGAACUUUCUCAGAGGCCAGAUGCCUCUCACCUGCAAAAAACUCCACUUCCCCCCCUUUUUGCUCCCCUGCUUCCUCUGGGGAUCCCACGUGCUCUUAUGCCAUCCAUAGUGCACAAACAUAUCAGCAGAUGGGGAGACAACAAGACCAAGGAUUUCCAGACAAAUACCAUGCUGAUUGUGAGAGAAAUAUUGGGAACCCAUGAAAACGACGCUUGCAUUUAAAUAACUGGUUUGUGCAAAUUUAUAUAUCUGGGGUCUGGGUCGUCUCCAAGCUGCGCAUUUCCAGUGGGCCUGCAAUCAACCACCUUCCAUUAGUUUCUGGACCUACACGUAAUUUAAAUGUAAAUAUAGCUCAUUUAAUCUAGAAUCCAGAUUUUAUGUAAAUUCAUCCUUUUCAGUAAUAUCGGCCUUCAGCUGAAGAUUCUUGUUUCUCAUAAACAUCAUCCUGUAAGGACAACGCUUUUUCCUAUAUUUUUAUUUUAUUUCAUUAUCAAGUCACAUUGUUCCUUUAACUAUUCUAUAGAGCAUUUUACGGCCUUUCCGCUGAUGUAUAACUUAUGUAAUUUCAUUAUUUGUAUAUCUUAUUAUCAUUGAAUAUAUGGUUCCGAGAAAACACAAAUCCUUCUGGCGCAGACUCAAUUUCUCUCUGUUCAGGUAGGAUACUACAUAUCUGUACGCAGCCUCCUUUAUAGCCUGUUUUUACCUGUAAUAAAUUAUCAGUACCCAGCUACCUGUCUUCCUCUCUGGUCCUCACAACUGGUGACCUCCUGGAGUCGGUGACACAGUGAUUUAGGCAUAGCCUUUAACGGACUAAGUAAGGCAGCUCACCUUCAGAGAACCUUUAACGGACUCAAUACGGCACCACAGUUUAGGUCUCUGAAAGCUCCAUUCCAUGGACGACACUGAUGCCAUUAACGGACCCAUCACGGUACGGCUUCCAAACGUGUUUAGGAGUUUUUUGAGGAUGGGUAGCUGGGUGCUGGUCAGCCAACAAAAUCAGGCGGCAGUCCAAAAAUAUCCAUCCGACGUCAUGGCCUCCUCAGUUCUUCCUCCGGUGCCAUUACCACACCUGCAAGUCCCCAGGAAACUUCCCAACACCGCCGCUGCACCCAGGGUCCUGUUUUACCCACCCAACAUUGCUGCCACACAUUGCUGCUCAGACCCCCCUGAUGUUGCUGCCAUGAUCCUCCUCAAACCCCACGACGCUGCCGUCGCUCCUGGGGCUCGCUUGGCCUGCCUGACGUCGCUGCCAUACCUGUGGGCCUCCUCACCCUUCCGACGCCAUCUCCUAUAGUUCUCCUUGGCCCACCGGCACCGCUGCCGCACCUGUGGGCCUCCUCUCCCUGCCGACACUGCUACCUGUGGGCUACCUCAACCUGCCGACCUGGCCCAUCUGUGGUUCUGUGCUACCUGCUGGAUGCCGUUGCCAUGCCUUGGGACUUCUUCAGCCCAACCUGUGCCACCUCCACCACACAUGGGGGUGCCCAUAGCCCGUCACACGCAGCCACCACACACAAUACAGUUUUCUCCGCAGUCUUGGUCGCCCUCAGUCAACAGUAGAACCCCCCAGGUAACCGCCAAGGGAGGCAUCCUGUCAGCCAGCAAUGCCGAAGGACUCUACGUUCAAUAACGCUCUACAACAAGUGUCACAAAAACGCAGGGUCCCCUCCAGCCUCUAAGAUAUUUUUCAUCCAAUCAUUAUUCCAUAAUCGUUUUCUUGGUGGGGGAGUAUUUGUAAGGACAACACUUUUUUAUAUAUUUUUAUUGUAUUUCUUUAUCAAACCAUGUUGUUCCUUUAGCCAUUCCAUAGAGCGUUCCACGGCCUUUCCACUGAUGUAGAAAGUAUGUAAUUUCAUUAUUUCAUUAUUUGUAUAUCUUAUUAUCUUUAAAUGCAUGUCUCCGAGAAAACACAAAUCCUUCCGGCUCA